This 782-nucleotide ribosomal RNA is filed under the name Harrya subalpina. RNAcentral describes it as "eukaryotic LSU rRNA". It matches the Rfam family "Eukaryotic large subunit ribosomal RNA", at positions 100 to 874 of the family's 3401-position model. Lineage: Eukaryota; Fungi; Basidiomycota; Agaricomycetes; Boletales; Boletaceae. The record is from RNAcentral.
GGGAAGAGCUCAAAUUUUGAAUCUGGCAGUCCGAAAGGCUGUCCGAGUUGUAAUCUAGAGAAGCGUCUUCCGCGUCGGACCCGUGUACAAGUCUCCUGGAAGGGAGCGUCAUAGAGGGUGAGAAUCCCGUCUUUGACACGGACGAACCGAGGCUAUGUGAUGCGCUCUCGACGAGUCGAGUUGUUUGGGAAUGCAGCUCAAAACGGGUGGUAAAUUCCAUCUAAAGCUAAAUACAGGCGAGAGACCGAUAGCGAACAAGUACCGUGAGGGAAAGACGAAAAGAACUUUGGAAAGAGAGUUAAACAGUACGUGAAAUUGCUGAAAGGGAAACGUUUGAUGUCAGUCACGUCGGCUGGGGGUCAAUCUGGCUUUCGAAUGAUUGCUGGGUGUAUUUCCUGGUCGACGGGUCAGCGUCAGUUUUCGUGCUCGUACAAUGGUGGAGGGAACGUGGCACUCUUUCGGGAGUGUGUUAUAGCCUUGCAUCGUAUGCGGUGGUGGGGACUGAGGAACUCGGCACACAAGUUUGUGCUUAGGAUGCUGGCAUAAUGGCCUUAAGCGACCCGUCUUGAAACACGGACCAAGGAGUCUAACAUGCCUGCGAGUGUUUGGGUGCCAAACUCGAGUGCGAAAUGAAAGUGAACGGUCGACACCUCUGUCGUGGAGGGCAUCGACGCCGGACUCGAGUCUCUGACAAGGAUCUGCGGUAGAGCAUGCAUGUUAGGACCCGAAAGAUGGUGAACUAUGCCUGAAUAGGGUGAAGCCAGAGGAAACUCGGUGGAGGC